This 459-nucleotide ribosomal RNA is filed under the name uncultured Desulfobulbus sp. Its description in RNAcentral is "bacterial SSU rRNA". It matches the Rfam family "Bacterial small subunit ribosomal RNA", at positions 925 to 1382 of the family's 1533-position model. The record is from RNAcentral. Lineage: Bacteria; Pseudomonadati; Thermodesulfobacteriota; Desulfobulbia; Desulfobulbales; Desulfobulbaceae.
ACAAGCGGUGGAGCAUGUGGUUUAAUUCGACGCAACGCGCAGAACUUACCUGGGCUUGACAUCCCGAUCGUACUUUCUGGAAACAGUUAGGUCAGUUCGGCUGGAUCGGUGACAGGUGCUGCAUGGCUGUCGUCAGCUCGUGUCGUGAGAUGUUGGGUUAAGUCCCGCAACGAGCGCAACCCUUGUCCUUAGUUGCCAGCAGUUCGGCUGGGCACUCUAAAGGGACUGCCGGUGUUAAACCGGAGGAAGGUGGGGAUGACGUCAAGUCCUCAUGGCCUUUAUGACCAGGGCUACACACGUACUACAAUGGCCGAUACAAAGGGCAGCGACAUCGCGAGGUGAAGCCAAUCCCAUAAAAUCGGUCUCAGUCCGGAUUGGAGUCUGCAACUCGACUCCAUGAAGUUGGAAUCGCUAGUAAUCGCGGAUCAGCAUGCCACGGUGAAUACGUUCCCGGGCCUU